GACGAACGCUGGCGGCGUGCCUAAUACAUGCAAGUCGAACGCUGAAGGAGGAGCUUGCUUCUCUGGAUGAGUUGCGAACGGGUGAGUAACGCGUAGGUAACCUGCCUGGUAGCGGGGGAUAACUCUUGGAAACGAUAGCUAAUACCGCAUAAUAGCAGUUGUUGCAUGAUAACUGUUUGAAAGGUGCAAUUGCACCACUACCAGAUGGACCUGCGUUGUAUUAGCUAGUUGGUGGGGUAACGGCUCACCAAGGCGACGAUACAUAGCCGACCUGAGAGGGGGGUCGGCCACACUGGGACUGAGACACGGCCCAGACUCCUACGGGAGGCAGCAGUAGGGAAUCUUCGGCAAUGGACGGAAGUCUGACCGGGCAACGCCGCGGGAGUGAAGAAGGGUUUCGGAUCGUAAAGAUCUGUUGUAAGGGAAGGAAGAGUGUGAGAGUGGAAAGUGCACACUGUGACGGUAUCUAACCAGAAAGGGACGGCUAACUACGUG
RNAcentral lists this ribosomal RNA (495 nucleotides) under uncultured bacterium. RNAcentral describes it as "partial 16S ribosomal RNA". It matches the Rfam family "Bacterial small subunit ribosomal RNA", at positions 28 to 507 of the family's 1533-position model. The record is from RNAcentral.